This 253-nucleotide ribosomal RNA is filed under the name uncultured bacterium. RNAcentral's name for it is "partial 16S ribosomal RNA". It matches the Rfam family "Bacterial small subunit ribosomal RNA", at positions 524 to 776 of the family's 1533-position model. The record is from RNAcentral.
UACGGAGGGAGCUAGCGUUGUUCGGAUAUACUGGGCGUAAAGCGCACGUAGGCGGCGCCGUAAGUCAGGGGUGAAAUCCCGGAGCUCAACUCCGGAACUGCCUUUGAUACUGGUAGUCUCGAGUCCGGAAGAGGUGAGUGGAAUUCCGAGUGUAGAGGUGAAAUUCGUAGAUAUUCGGAGGAACACCAGUGGCGAAGGCGGCUCACUGGUCCGGUACUGACGCUGAGGUGCGAAAGCGUGGGGAGCAAACAGG